This 69-nucleotide transfer RNA is filed under the name Heterocephalus glaber (naked mole-rat). It matches the Rfam family "tRNA". From Rfam's summary of the family: Transfer RNA (tRNA) molecules are approximately 80 nucleotides in length. Lineage: Eukaryota; Metazoa; Chordata; Mammalia; Rodentia; Bathyergidae. The record is from Rfam by way of RNAcentral.
GGGGAUGUAGCACGGUGCUAGAGCACUUGCCUAGCAUGCAAGACACCCUAGGUUCAAUCCCCAGCACCA